GGGAAGGUGGCUCAGUGGUAGAGUGCUUGCCUUGCAUGCAUGAGGCCCUGGGUUCGAUUCCUCCGCACUA
RNAcentral lists this transfer RNA (70 nucleotides) under Dipodomys ordii (Ord's kangaroo rat). It matches the Rfam family "tRNA". From Rfam's summary of the family: Transfer RNA (tRNA) molecules are approximately 80 nucleotides in length. Their secondary structure includes four short double-helical elements and three loops (D, anti-codon, and T loops). Further hydrogen bonds mediate the characteristic L-shaped molecular structure. tRNAs have two regions of fundamental functional importance: the anti-codon, which is responsible for specific mRNA codon recognition, and the 3' end, to which the tRNAs corresponding amino acid is attached (by aminoacyl-tRNA synthetases). tRNAs cope with the degeneracy of the genetic code in two manners: having more than one tRNA (with a specific anti-codon) for a particular amino acid; and 'wobble' base-pairing, i.e. permitting non-standard base-pairing at the 3rd anti-codon position. The record is from Rfam by way of RNAcentral. Lineage: Eukaryota; Metazoa; Chordata; Mammalia; Rodentia; Heteromyidae.